This 75-nucleotide transfer RNA is filed under the name Anaerolineae bacterium. RNAcentral describes it as "tRNA-Arg". It matches the Rfam family "tRNA". Rfam says of the family: Transfer RNA (tRNA) molecules are approximately 80 nucleotides in length. Their secondary structure includes four short double-helical elements and three loops (D, anti-codon, and T loops). Further hydrogen bonds mediate the characteristic L-shaped molecular structure. tRNAs have two regions of fundamental functional importance: the anti-codon, which is responsible for specific mRNA codon recognition, and the 3' end, to which the tRNAs corresponding amino acid is attached (by aminoacyl-tRNA synthetases). tRNAs cope with the degeneracy of the genetic code in two manners: having more than one tRNA (with a specific anti-codon) for a particular amino acid; and 'wobble' base-pairing, i.e. permitting non-standard base-pairing at the 3rd anti-codon position. Lineage: Bacteria; Bacillati; Chloroflexota; Anaerolineae. The record is from RNAcentral.
GAUCCUGUAGCCAAGCGGAAAGGCGCUGGCUUGCGGAGCCAGUAACCGGAGGUUCGAUCCCUCCCAGGAUCGCCA